AUACUUACCUGACAGGGGAGAUACCAUGACCACACAGGUGGUUUUCCCAGGGUGAGGCUCAUCCAUUGUUCUUGGGAUGUGCUGAGCGCUGCAAUUUCCCCAAACAUGGGAAACUAGACUGCAUAAUUUGUGGUGGUGGGGGACUGCGUCCAUGCUUUCCCCUA
Ochotona princeps (American pika) is the source of this 164-nucleotide small nuclear RNA. Its record names the gene U1. It matches the Rfam family "U1 spliceosomal RNA". From Rfam's summary of the family: U1 is a small nuclear RNA (snRNA) component of the spliceosome (involved in pre-mRNA splicing). Its 5' end forms complementary base pairs with the 5' splice junction, thus defining the 5' donor site of an intron. NCBI's taxonomy places the organism in Eukaryota, Metazoa, Chordata, Mammalia, Lagomorpha, Ochotonidae. The record is from Ensembl.